This 607-nucleotide long non-coding RNA is filed under the name Mus caroli (Ryukyu mouse). RNAcentral's name for it is "lncRNA (MGP_CAROLIEiJ_G0006865.1)". The record is from RNAcentral. Lineage: Eukaryota; Metazoa; Chordata; Mammalia; Rodentia; Muridae.
CUGUCUGUGAGGAAGACUGAGAAGGAUAUAGAGGGUACCAGUCCCACCUCCUCUAGCAGUUACUUCUAGGAAUCAAGUUGAGAGAGUCCUGUGCAGUUUCUUGGAUUCCAUCUUGUUGCCUGAAAUAAGCUCUUAAGAUCUCUUCAUUCACAUUUCUGCCUACUACCUUCAACAUGCUUCACGAGAGAAUUCCUUCUGACCUCAGCAUUGAAGGAGAUUUUCUGGACCCAGUUGAAUCACCGGAAGCACUGAUUUUACUGAUUCCUGUGGAUGACUUGGAAGAUGAUGUGGAAGAAAUAUUCGAAAUAUAUGAAGAGGAGGAGGGAGAAGUGGGAGAGGAAGAGCUGGUGGUGGAGGAGAUACUGGUGGAGGAGGAAGAGGUAGAGGAGGAAGAAAUAGAGCUGGUAAUAGGAAAAUACAUUGCUGAGAAUGAGGAGUAGAAAUGAGAAAUAAGAAAAAGAGGAGAAAGAGGAAGCAGAGGAGGAGGAGGAAGAGGAGGGAAAAAUGAUUCAGUGAAAUGUACCUUUACUUGCCAAGCUCAUGCAAGAAAACAAAAAAAAAAAAGUUAACAAAUCUUAAUAAAGUUUGUUUACUGGUUCAUUUACUU